CAGCAGCCACGGUAAUACGUAGGUGGCAAGCGUUGUCCGGAAUUAUUGGGCGUAAAGCGCGCGCAGGCGGAUAGGUCAGUCUGUCUUAGAAGUUCGGGGCUUAACCCCGUGAUGGGAUGGAAACUGCCAAUCUAGAGUAUCGGAGAGGAAAGUGGAAUUCCUAGUGUAGCGGUGAAAUGCGUAGAUAUUAGGAAGAACACCAGUGGCGAAGGCGACUUUCUGGACGAAAACUGACGCUGAGGCGCGAAAGCCAGGGGAGCGAACGGGAUUAGAUACCCGCGUAGUCCCUGUCUCUUAUACA
This 301-nucleotide ribosomal RNA is filed under the name uncultured bacterium. RNAcentral's name for it is "partial 16S ribosomal RNA". It matches the Rfam family "Bacterial small subunit ribosomal RNA", at positions 509 to 809 of the family's 1533-position model. The record is from RNAcentral.